GACGAACGCUGGCGGCGUGCCUAAUACAUGCAAGUCGAACGCUUCCUACCGGUGCUUGCACCGGGAAAGAAGAGUGGCGGACGGGUGAGUAACACGUGGGUAACCUACCUACAAGCGGGGGAUAACAUUCGGAAACGGAUGCUAAUACCGCAUAGAUCUUUUUGUCUCCUGGCAGAAAGAAGAAAGACGGUUUCGGCUGUCACUUGUAGAUGGACCCGCGGCGCAUUAGUUAGUUGGUGAGGUAAUGGCUCACCAAGACGAUGAUGCGUAGCCGACCGGAGAGGGUGAUCGGACACACUGGGACUGAGACACGGCCCAGACUCCUACGGGAGGCAGCAGUAGGGAAUCUUCCGCAAUGGACGAAAGUCUGACGGAGCAACGCCGCGUGAGUGAAGAAGGUUUUCGGAUCGUAAAACUCUGUUGUUAGAGAAGAACAAGGAUGAGAGUAACUGCUCGUCCCUUGACGGUAUCUAACCAGAAAGCCACGGCUAACUACGUGCCAGCCGCCGCCGUAA
RNAcentral lists this ribosomal RNA (515 nucleotides) under uncultured bacterium. RNAcentral's name for it is "partial 16S ribosomal RNA". It matches the Rfam family "Bacterial small subunit ribosomal RNA", at positions 28 to 523 of the family's 1533-position model. The record is from RNAcentral.